This 84-nucleotide transfer RNA is filed under the name Cyclobacteriaceae bacterium. RNAcentral's name for it is "tRNA-Leu". It matches the Rfam family "tRNA". From Rfam's summary of the family: Transfer RNA (tRNA) molecules are approximately 80 nucleotides in length. Their secondary structure includes four short double-helical elements and three loops (D, anti-codon, and T loops). The record is from RNAcentral. Lineage: Bacteria; Pseudomonadati; Bacteroidota; Cytophagia; Cytophagales; Cyclobacteriaceae.
GCCCAGGUGGUGAAAUUGGUAGACACGCUACUUUGAGGGGGUAGUGCCUUAACUGGUGUGCUGGUUCGAGUCCAGUCCUGGGCA